UUUUUUCUGGGUAGAAUUCCUAUCUCAUUUAUAUUUAACUCUAUUUGUCCACUAGAAUUUCCUGAGCUCACUACAAAGGGCACACUUAAUGGGUUCCAGCUUCUUGUGGUACUAACAGGAAUUAUUGAACAUCUCUAGCAGAUUCAGCCACAAAUUUCACAGCUUAUGUGCUUUUCAACAUGUUAUCAACCUUACAAGGAAAACAGAAAACAGGGACUAUAGAGUUACAGACAAGUGAGACAACCAAAACAAUUCAAAUAUUCAAAUCUUCGACUUCAAGUAUUGAACUCACCAAUCACCACUGCUGACUGCACACUGCUGGCUGCUCGCUCAGUUGCUCGGCCGCGCCAGACGCCA
Molecule: long non-coding RNA, 357 nt
Filed under: Olea europaea (common olive)
Lineage: Eukaryota; Viridiplantae; Streptophyta; Magnoliopsida; Lamiales; Oleaceae
Description: long non-coding RNA (OEUR_LNC007538)
Source: RNAcentral